GACGAACGCUGGCGGCGUGCUUAACACAUGCAAGUCGAACGGAAAGGCCCUGCUUUUUUGGUGUGCUCGAGUGGCGAACGGGUGAGUAACACGUUAGUAACCUGCCCUUUACUUUGGGAUAACUUCAGGAAACUGUGGCUAAUACCGGAUAGUAGCUCCUGCUGCAUGGUGGGCGUUGGAAAUUUUCGGCGGUUGGGGAUGGACUCGCGGCUUAUCAGCUUGUUGGUUGGGUAGUGGCUUACCAAGGCUUUGACGGGUAGCCGGCAUGAGAAGGUGAACGGGGACAUGAGGACUACGAGAGGGAGCAGACGCGUACGGGAGGCAGUAGUGGGGAAUAUUACACAGUGGGCGGAAGCCUGAGGCAAAGGCGUUGGGUGCGGGAUGACGGGCUGCGGGUUAAGAACCGCUGACGCCUGAGACGAAGCGUGAGUGACGGUAAUGAAUAAAGAAGCACCGGCUAACUACGUG
This 468-nucleotide ribosomal RNA is filed under the name uncultured bacterium. RNAcentral describes it as "partial 16S ribosomal RNA". It matches the Rfam family "Bacterial small subunit ribosomal RNA", at positions 28 to 507 of the family's 1533-position model. The record is from RNAcentral.